RNAcentral lists this ribosomal RNA (487 nucleotides) under uncultured bacterium. RNAcentral's name for it is "bacterial SSU rRNA". It matches the Rfam family "Bacterial small subunit ribosomal RNA", at positions 30 to 509 of the family's 1533-position model. The record is from RNAcentral.
AUUGAACGCUGGCGGCAUGCCUUACACAUGCAAGUCGAACGGCAGCAUGGGUGCUUGCACCUGAUGGCGAGUGGCGAACGGGUGAGUAAUGCAUCGGAACGUACCCGGAAGUGGGGGAUAACGUAGCGAAAGUUACGCUAAUACCGCAUAUUCUGUGAGCAGGAAAGCGGGGGAUCGCAAGACCUCGCGCUUCCGGAGCGGCCGAUGUCGGAUUAGCUAGUUGGCGGGGUAAAGGCCCACCAAGGCAACGAUCCGUAGCGGGUCUGAGAGGAUGAUCCGCCACACUGGGACUGAGACACGGCCCAGACUCCUACGGGAGGCAGCAGUGGGGAAUUUUGGACAAUGGGGGCAACCCUGAUCCAGCCAUGCCGCGUGAGUGAAGAAGGCCUUCGGGUUGUAAGCUCUUUCGGCUGGGAAGAAAUCGCAUCUCCUAAUACGGGGUGUGGAUGACGGUACCAGCAUAAGAAGCACCGGCUAACUACGUGCC